Long non-coding RNA from Loxodonta africana (African savanna elephant), 23807 nucleotides. RefSeq lists it as uncharacterized. NCBI's taxonomy places the organism in Eukaryota, Metazoa, Chordata, Mammalia, Proboscidea, Elephantidae. The record is from RefSeq and is a predicted model, not a curated record. The transcript has 5 exons.
GGCUCCAGCCCUGACGCGCCCCCGCCGCCGCCGCGCGUCCGCCGGCUACACUUCCUCUUCCUCUGAACUCAUGUACAAAAUAUGCUGCGCUGCAUCUUCGGGGGAAGCCGCGCGGCCCCUGACAGCCGCCGUGGGAGCAGCGGUCCCGCCCAGCGCCCCCUCCGCUCCCUGCACCCCCUCACCGCUCCACGCUGCCGCCUCCACGCGGCCAGCGACCCGCGCGCCGCACGCCCAACCACCUGGGGAGCGACCUUCGCCACCCCACGGCCCAGGAGCCCGAGACUCACGGGCCCACCCUCUUGACCUCUCCUCACCAAGGUUGUGUGCAGUCAACAGCGCGCGUGGAGACUUGGAUCAGCUUUCUCAAGAUUUGAGACGAGGUGCUGGAAAAGCUACUGCCACCAAGGGACAAUCUCGAUUCCAGAAUUUGGAGCAAGAGUCAUGCAUGUGAAGACUUGAUUACCCAGGAGAUGCUGUGUGGCUGCAGCCUUCGGGCUGGAGGGAUUUGAGAACAGGAAGUCAAAGCUCAAGAAAAGGAGGCCUUAUAAUUUUUGAUGGUACACCUGGAAAGAGGGGGCUACUGACAAACAUCUUCCCCACCAUGUGAAGAAAGCACACCUCUAGAGUGACAAAAUGAGGCCUUACCGACACAGAGAUGUGCAGAACUGAGAUAGUAUGUGACAGCAAGACAGACAAAAUGAACUACAAUCUCAACAAUCUUGCUAAAGUCUCUGGAUCUAGCUGUGAAUGGACUUCCAUUCUUGGGAUGUGAGCCCGCAGCCUGCAGCCUGUCCAGCAGAUUUUGGGAUUCCCCAGCUUCUGCAACCCUGUGAGCCAGCAGCCUUCAGCCUGACCUGCCAAAUUUGGGUUCAUCAGCCCCUGAAACCAAAUGAGUCAGAAGAAGCCUCCAGUCUGACACCUGAUGCAAGGAUUUGGGACUUGCCAGCCUCCACAACUGUGUGAGCCAUUUCCUGGCUUGAAAUAAAUCUGACCAAAAGGUCAGAAAUUUAAAUUCACUAGCUGCUCCUUGGAAGCCCUAUGGGGCAGUUCUACUCUGUCCUUAUAGGGUCACUAUGAGUCGGAAUUGACUUGACAGCAAUGGGUUAUAUAUAUACGUUUCACCGGUUUUGCUACCUGAAGCUGGGGCGGGGAGGGGUGCAGACCCACCUAAAAGGAUUAGAGCAACAGUGACCAGCACACACACACGGCUGGGAAUAGUGCAUGUUCCCACCAGCCAGACUUGAAAAAUUCACGAUUUGCAGAACAUUGGGUAGAAUAUUUGGAAGGCCUUGCCUCAGUAGUGGAUACUAAUAUUUCCAGACUCAGCACUGAUCCAAGUCUGCCUAAAAACUCGUAAAAGCAAGAUCCUGAUAGGUCAAACUAUUUCCAAGUAACUUGCCUGCAUCUCGGAAUAAAGCUAAAGAAUAUUUAUAGGAAAAAAAUAAAACUGGCAAGCAACAAAACAAUUAGCCCCCAAAUAAAAUGUGUGGCAUCCAGUCAAAGAUGAUCAAGCAUACAAAGAAGCAAGAAAAUAUGAUCCAUAAUAAGAAUAAUGAUCAAUUGAAACUGACUCAGAUUGCCACAGAUGGUAGAAUGAGCAAACAGGACAUUAAAAUUGUUGUUGUUGUAGUUGUGUUGCGUGCCAUUAAGUUAAUUCUGACUCAUAGCGACUGUAUGUGACAGGGUAUUACUACUCCGUAGGGUUUCCUAGGCUGUAAUCUUUAUGGGAGCAGAUCGUCGGGUCUUUUCUCCAGUACAGCCACUGGUGAGUUCGAACCAUUGGCCUUCUGGUUAGCAGCCAUGUGCUUAACUGUUGCAUCACCAGGAAUCCUUAAAAUAGUUAUUAUAACUUUAUUUUACAUAUAUGUUCAAAAAGUUAAGCAGAAACAACCAUGGGCAUCUGCCUCCUUCUUUGGAUCUUCUCAUCUAAGCAUAGAACCAGAAGCCCCACUGAGGACAUCUGAUGACCAACAGGUCAGUAAGAGGUCUCCAAAAUGAAACAUAACAAGAUGCAAGAAAAGGAGGUAAUGGGGUUUCCCUACCUUCGUUCCAGACUCUGAGGCAGCCUUCUGGACAGAUUACUUUUGCCUAUAAUGGAGAGAUAUUUCUGUAGGAGAUGCAGCAAAGACAGCGCAAAGCAUUGCAUUGCAAACACAGCUCUAUUUUGGCUAGACCAAGGAACGCUCUGGUUAGGGCACUUCCUUUCUUAGCGCCUCAGACCCUGCCUUCUGCCCUCUCUUAAGGAAGCUAUUUGCCACCAGAUAAACUGAGAAGCCCCCACCUGUCUGUCAGUUUGUCGUACUGUGGGGGCUUGCGUGUUGCUGUGGUGCUGGAAGCUAUGCCACUGGUAUUCAGACACCAGCAGGGUCACCCAUGGAGGACAGGUUUCAGCUGAGCUUCCACACUAAAACAGACUAGGAAGAAGGACCCAGCAGUCUACUUCUGAAAAGCAUUAGCCAGUGAAAACCUUAUGAAUAGCAGUAGAACAUUGUCUGUUAUAGUGCUGGAAGAUGAGCCCCCAGGUUGGAAGGCACUCAGAAAUGACUGGGGAAGAGCUGCCUCCUCAAAGUAGAGUUGACCUUAAUGAUGUGGAUGGAGUAAAGCUUUCGGGACCUUCAUUUGCUGAUGUGGCAUGACUCAAAAUGAGAAGAAACAGCUGCAAACAUCCAUUAAUAAUCGGAACCUGGAAUGUACGAAGUAUGCAUCUAGGAAAAUUAGAAAUCCUCAAAAAUGAAAUGAAACACAUAAACAUCAAUAUCCUAGGCAUUAGUGAACUGAAAUGGACUGAUAUUGGCCAUUUUGAAUCAGACAAUCAUAUAGUCUACUAUGCUGGGAACGACAACUUGAAGAGGAAUGGCAUUGCAUUCAUCGUCAAAAAGAACAUUUCAAGAUCUAUCCUGAAGUACAAUGCUGUCAGUGAUAGGAUAAUAUCCAUACACCUACAAGGAAGACCAGUUAAUACGACUAUUGUUCAAAUUUACGCACCGACUACUAGGGCCAAAGAUGAAGAAAUAGAAGAUUUUUAUCAGCUGCUACAGUCUGAAAUUGAUGGAACAUGCAAUCAGGAUGCAUUGAUAAUUACUGCCGAUUGGAAUGUGAAAGUUGGAAACAAAGAAGAAGGAUCAGCAGUUGGAAAAUAUGGCCUUUGUGAUAGAAAAAAUGCUGGAUAUCAAAAGAUAGAAUUUUGCAAAACCAAUGACUUCUUCAUUGCAAACACCUUCUUUCACCAACGUAAACAGCGAUGAUACACCUGGACCUCACCAGAUGGAACACGCAGAAAUCAAAUUGACUACAUCUUUGGAAAGAGACGAUGGAAAAGCUCAAUACCAUCAGUCAGAACAAGGCCAGGGACUGACUGUGGAACAGAUCAUCAAUUGCUCAUAUGCAAGUUCAAGCUGAAACUGAAGACAAUCAAAGCAAGUCCACGAGAGCCAAAAUAUGACCUUGAGUAUAUCCCACCUGAAUUCAAAGACCAUCUGAAGAAUAGAUUUGAUGCAUUGAACACUGAUGACUGAAGACUGGACGAGUUGUGGAAUGACAUCAAGGACAUCAUACAUGAAGAAAGCAAGAGGUUAUUGAAAAGACAGGAAAGAAAGAAAAGACCAAGAUGGAUGUCAGAGGAGACUCUGAAACUUGCUUUCGAACGUCGAGCAGCUAAAGCAAAAGGAAGAAUUGAUGAAGUAAAAGAACUAAACAGAAGAUUUCAAAGGGCGGCUCGAGAAGACAAAGUAUUACAAUGACACAUGCAAAGAGCUGGAAAUGAAAAACCAAAAGGCAAGAACAUACUCCGUGUUUCUCAAGCUGAAAGAACUGAAGAAAAAAUUCAAGCCUUGAGUUGCAGUAACAAAGGAUUUCAUGGGGAAAAUAUUAAACGACAGAGAAGCAUCAAAAGAAGAUGGAAGGAAUACACAGAGCCGUUAUAUCAAAAAGAAUUAGUCGAUAUUCAACCAUUUCAAGAGGUGGCAUAUGAUCAGGAACCAAUGGUACUGAAGGAAGAAGUCCAAGCUGCUCUGAACGCACUGGCGAAAAACAAGGAUCCAGGAAUUGAUGGAAUAUCAAUUGAGAUGUUUCAGCAAACAGAUGCAGCGCUGGAGGUGCUCACUCGUCUAUGCCAAGAAAUAUGGAAGACAGCUUCCUGGCCAACUGAUUGGAAGAGAUCCAUAUUUUUGCCUAUUCCCAAGAAAGGUGAUCCAACCAAAUGUGGAAGUUAUAGAACAAUUUCAUUAAUAUCACACACAAGCAAAAUUUUGCUGAAGAUCAUUCAAAAACGGCUGCAGCAGUAUAUCGACAGGAAACUGCCAGAAAUUCAGGCUGGUUUCAGAAGAGGAUGUGGAACCAGGGAUAUCAUUGCUGAUGUCAGAUGGAUCGUGGCUGAAAGCAGAGAAUACCAGAAGGAUGUUUACCUGUGUUUUACUGACUAUGCAAAGGCAUUUAACUAUGUGGCUCAUAACAAAUUAUGGAUAACAUUGUGAAGAAUGGGAAUUCCAGAACACUUAAUUGUGCUCGUGAGGAACCUUUACAUAGAUCAAGAGGCAGUUGUUCAGACAGAACAAGGGGAUACUGAUUGGUUUAAAGUCAGGAAAGGUGUGCAUCAGGGUUGUAUUCUUUCACCAUACCUAGUGAGCAACAUGAUGAUAAAUGGAGAAAAGACUGAAGUUGUCAAGGAUUUCAUUUUACUUGGAUCCACAAUCAACAGCCAUGGAAGCAGCAGUCAAGAAAUCAGAAGACGCAUUGCAUUGGGUAAAUCUGCUGCAAAGGACCUCUUCAAAGUGUUGAAGGGGAAAGAUGUCACCUUGAAGACUACGGCGCGCCUGACCCAAGCCGUGGUAUUUUCAAUCACAUCAUAUGCAUGUGAAAGCUGGACAAUGAAUAAGGAAGACCGAAGAAGAAUUGAUGCCUUUGAAUUGUGGUGUUGGCGAAGAAUAUUGAAUAUACCGUGGACUGCCAGAAGAGCAAAUACAUCUGUCUUGGAAAAAGUACAACCAGAAUGCUCCUUAGAAGCAAGGAUGUCAAGACUGCAUCUUACAUACUUUGGACAUGUUGUCAGGAGGGAUCAGUCCCUGGAGAAGGACAUCAUGCUUGGCAAAGUACAGGGUCAGUGGAAAAGAGGAAGACUCUCAACGAGGUGGAUUGACACAGUGGCUGCAGCAAUGGGCUCAAGCAUAGCAAUGAUUGUAAGGAUGGCGCAGAACCAGGCAGUGUUUCUUUCUGUUGUGCACGGGGUUGCUAUGAGUCAGAACUGACUCGACGGCACCUAACAACAACAACAACAAACUGAGAAGAACCACUGAGCUCCCUGAGACCAAAGGUGUAGCUACAUAAAUAUAUCAUGUCCUGAGAGCGGUUGAUAAAAUGUACAAAGGCUGGGUGUAUGGAAGGAAGAACAGAAAUCUCAUCAUUUCUGUGGGGCUUUUGAAAUCUUAGAGUUUGAAAUACCUACCCAGUCCCCUGCUCCCCCUUCACAAGAGAGCUCAUAGUACAAGCCAUUUUUAUGAGCAGUCCUGAGAUACCCGGGAGCAAUCCAGAGCAAAGAGUAGUUCUAUUGUUUUAUUGAAAUUGCACUGCAGUUUUGCAGCUAAAGACACUCUCUGGGGUUGGACUCCCAGAGUCCCUCAUUCUAGAAGACCGAUCUAAACCAUGACGUGCUAGGGAGACGCCCUAUGCUGUCUGAGGUCCUUGAUGACCUUCCAUAGCAGCCCGUUGGGACCAUUGAGUUGAAAGGGUCUGGGUGGACUUGAUGGAGUCGGGUAUUUUUCUCUCCAGGACCCUGCUGAAACCCAACGGCCUGUUUUCUAGUUUCUAGAGUAUGAACACACUAAUAAAAAACCAAACUCGUUGACUUUGAGUCAUUUCCGACUCGUGGUGACCCCAUGUGUUACAGAGUAGAACUGAGCUCCAUAGGGUUUCCUUGGCUGUAAUCUUUAUGGAAGCAAUCACCAGGCCUUUCUUUUGCACACCCCUGGGAAGGUCUGAACCAUCAACUUUUAGGUUAGUAGUCGAGUGCAAACCUUUGGCACCCCCCAGGACCUGAACACACUAAUAGAGCACCUCAAAGUUUUGCCACGAGCCAUUUCUCCUUCCUGCAGUUCAUAGGGAAUUGUGCUCAUGAGGAACCUGUACAUGGAUCAAGAGGCAGUCUUUCAAACAGAAGAAGGGGACACUGAGUGGUUUAAAGUCAGGGAAGUUGUAUGUCAGGGUUGUAUCUUUUCACCAUACCUAUUCAAUCUGUUGGAAACCCUGAUGGUGUAGUGGUUAAGUGCUAUGGCUGCUAAUCAAAAGGUCAGCAGUUUGAAUCCACCAGGCAUUCCUUGGAAAGUCUAUGGGGCAGUUCUACUCUUGGUAAAGCAGAGGAUCAUUGAAAAAGAGGAAGAUCCUCAACAAGGUGGGUUGAUACAGUGGCUGCAAUAAUGGGCUCAAGCAUAGCAACAACUGUGAGGAUGGUGCAGGACCCGGCAGUGCUUCCUUCUGUUGUGCAAAGGGUCACUAUGAGUUGGAACCAACUCAAUGGCACCUAACAAGAACAACGAAUGUUAUGGAUUGAAUUGUGCGCCCCCCCCCGCCAAAAGAUAUGUUGAAGUCUUAACCCCCAGUACCUGUGAAUGUGAUCUUGUUGGAGAUAAGGUCUCCCAAGAUGUUAUCAGUUAACAUGAGUUCAUACUGGAGUAGAAUUAAUAAAAAAAAAAAAAAAGGUUUGCCAUCGAGUCAAUUCCAACACAUGGUGACCCCAUGUUAUAGAGUAGAAUUGCUUCCUAGGGUCUUCUUGGCUCUAAUCUUUACAGAAGCAGUUUGCCAGGCCUUUCUUCUGCAGAGCUGCUGGGUUGGUUCAAACCACCAAUCUUUAGGUUAGUAGCCAAUUGCAAACCACCUGAGCUACCCAGGCUCCUGCUGGAGUAGGGUGGGUCCUAAACUAAUCUGAGUGAUGUCCUUAUAAAAGAGAGAAGACACCGAGGGAAAACAGCCCUGUAACCAUGAAGUCAUUCUGUAGCUGCAAGUCAAGGACUACCUGGGGCUACCAGAAGCUGGGAGACACAAGAAAGGAUCUUCCCCUAAAGCCUUCAGGGAGAAUGUGGCCCUGCUGACACCUUAACUUUGGACUACUAGCCUCCAGAACUGUGAGACAAUGAAUCUGUGUUCUUACAAGCAAAAAAGAAACAGUUAAGCAGAAACAUGAAAAAGUUUUAAAAAGACUCAAAUCAAACUUCUGGAGAUGAAAAGUACUUAUGUGCAAGAUGAAAAAUAACCCAAAUGAGAUUAAUGACAUAUUGACAUGGCAGCAGAAAAGAUCAGUGGACUUGAAGAAAGAGCAAUAGAAACGAUCCAAAAUGAAACACAAGAGAGGAAAACAUGAACAAAAAAACAGAGAGAGAGAGAAAACAGCAUCAGUGAAUAUAGGAUAACUUCAAAUGGCUUAAUGUGGAUGUAACUGGGGUCUCCAAAGCAGAGGAUGAGAGGACAGGGAAAAAUAUUUUAACAAAUAAUGGCAAAGAAAAGUCCAAAUUUGACGAAAACUAUAUAAAACCCAAGAAGCUCAAAGAACCCCAAGCACAAGAAAUAGGAAGAAAAUGACACCAUGGCACAUCAUAAUUGAAUGACUCAAAACUAGUAAUAAAGAGAAAAUCUUAAAGACCUUACACAUUUGUUUGUCAGUUGUGCCCUCCCCCAUGAGGUAUUUUCGUAAGCGCCACUAUGCCAAUUUUUUUUACAGGUUGCUGUAAAAAAAAUCUGCAUAGUGCCCUUACUUAAAUACCUCAUGGGGGAAGGCGUGGUUGGCAAACAAACCUAGAAGGUAUGCAUUAUUGGCAUAAAAAUACAGUAUACACAGGGGAACAAAGAUAAAAAUGAUGGAAGAUUUCUUGUUAGAAAUAAUACAAGUGAGAAGGUAAUGGAGCAAUAUCUUUAAAAUGUUGAAAGAAAAAAAAGAGCUGUCAACCUAGAAUUUAUAUCUAGUGUAAAUACCUUUCAAAAACAAAGGCGAAAGAUAUUUAUAGGCAUAUAAAAGUUGAAAGAACUACCAGUAGAGCUGCAACCUUGGAGGCAUAGUGGUUAAGAGCUACGGCUGCUAACCAAAAGGUUGGCAGUUCAAAUCCACCGGGCGCUCCUUGGAAACUCUUUGGGGCAGUUCUACUCUGUCCUGUAGGGUCGCUAUGAGUCAGAAUCGACUCAACCACAACAGGUUUGGUUUUUAGUUUUUUAGACCCACGCUGCAAGACAUGUUAAAGAAGUCCUUCAGACAGAAGGAAAAUGAUACCAAAUGGAGACAUGAUUCUACACAAAGGAAAUGAAAAUGCAAACAAUUUAGAAAAGAAGAAGAAAAUAAAAAGUUCCCCGAAAUCCCACCAUCAAGAAAUACUAUCACUAACAUUUGGUGAACAUCUUUGCAGACUUCUUAGGCAUUCAUGUUUUAAAUAUGAAAUGCUAUUUUUCAACCCGUGUUUUCUAAGCAACAAUACGUAGUGGAUCUCCGACAUGUUCAUACGCACCGUGUUUUUUAGCUGCCAUGUUAGCUAUUAUCAUUAUCACUAUGUGAAGUACAAAUGCCUUGCUUGGUCUGUCAUAAAAGUCUACAGAAUCUCACUAAACCUACCUCCCUUUGUUUACUUCCACCUUACCUUGUAGGUACUGUCAAUUUCUUCUCCCAGGGUGGGAGAAACUGACCUUGUAAUUGAAAGGUCUUGGUUCUGGUGCUAAGCCCAUUUGGACUCUGAACCACCACUUAAAUCUCCUUAAGUUUCAAUUUUUCUCUUCUGUGAAAUAAAGGUUUUUACUAUUUGUCCUGCUUGCCUUCCUUCAUUCCAUAAAGGGACUUCAGGACCUUUGCACUUGCUGUUCCCUCUGCCAGAAAUGGUGCUAGAAACAGGGGAGACAACAAACCAGCUCCUGAUCUCCUGGAGUCAAUAGGCCAGUAGAGGAGACAGGAAAUUACAAAACACUGCAUCAAGGGUUGCCUCUACCCGGGUACUCUGUCUGUUCUCAACCCAGCAUUCAGAGUGGUCCUUUGAAUACAUGAAUCAAAUCAUGUCACUGCUCUGUUCAAAACACUUGAGUGGCUCUGAAUUCACCAAAGUCCUCACAAUUACCUACAAGCAUCCAUAUGAUCUGGUUGCCCAUUACCAAUCUAUCUUCCUCUCCUACCGCUGUCUCCCUCCCUUCCUCCACUCCAGUCACACUGGCCUCCUUGCUGUUCCUCAAAACCACUAGGUAUGCCUUUUGCCUCAGGGCCUUUGCACUGGCUGUCCUCUCUGUCUAGAAUGCUCUUCCCCAAGAUAUCAACAUGGCUUCCUCCUUGAUCUCUUUCAAGUCUUUGCUCAAUUGAAACUUUCUAGAUAAGGCCUCUCCUGUCCAUCCUAUUUAAAAUGAAACCCCAUCCCUACUGCGGCAUUCUGGAUCCCCCUCAUACUCUGCUAUUAUCACUUUCUAACUUACGAUAUACUUCACUCUUUAUUCUGCUUAUUGCCUUUCUCCUCCACUAGAAUUUAAGCUCUACAAGGGCAGAAGUUUUUGUCUGCUUUGUUCAUUGAUAUUUCUGCAGCGCCUAAAACAAUGCCUGGCGUAUAAUAGGUGCUUAAUAAAUGUCAAAUUCAUUGGACAGAGUUGAACAGAGAAGGGAGAAUGGAAGAGCUGCUUCAUCACACAACUCCAGGGGGCACCCUUCACACUGUAGGCUGUGUGGAUGGCACCCUCUGGAAUUGCACAGUGCUCAGGCUACAGAGCUAUAUGAGGUGACUCUAACAGCAACCAAGAAACCACUUUGUCAAAAGGAACAAAUCAUUAAAUGAAAAUAUUUUUUCUAAUAAAAAUAUAUAAAAACACCAAGAAGAAAGAAAAAUCCAAAUCCUUCAAACUAGAGAUAAUCUCCAUUAAGAUUUCUUCCAGAUAUUUCUCUAUGCAUAUGUACACGUAUAAAUCUUCAUUUGACUUAAGUGGCAGCAUACCUGGCAUGUUACACUAAUAUCUGUUUUACCCAAUAAUAUAUUAUGAUAAACUUUACAAGUCAAUAAAUACUGAUUCUUAUCAUUGCUUUAAACCAGGGUUCUGGAAAUUAAGGUCCAUGAAACAACUCCAGUUGUUAUAAAGUUUUACUGGAACACAGCUAUACUCGUUCCUUUCUUUACGUAUUGUCUAUAGCUGCUUUCAUGCUACAAUGGCAGAGGUGAUUAUUUGUGAUAGAAACAAUAUGGCUCACAAAGCUUAAAAAUAGCUACUGUCUAGUCUUUUACAGAAAAGUUUGCUAGCCCCUGCUUUGUGGCGGAGUAGUGAAUGGUAUGAAAAUAUCAUAAAUGAAUUCUUCCCCUAUUGGUACACAUGCAGUUUGUUACCAAUUUUUGUUGAUGAACAAGGGCAUAUGUACGUCUAUGGACACGUGUCCAGUGUAUCACCUUAGGAUAAAUUCCUAGAGUUGGAUUGGCUGGAUGAAAGCAUGAGCUCUGUAAAGGUUUUUGCUACCCAUGAUCAAAAUGCCCACAGAACAGCUGUACCAGGUGAAUGAAUCUGUUGUUCUCACUAGCACUGAAACAUAAGCUCUUUGACCUCAUCCAUUUCUACCCUUUUGUGUUUUCUUUGUGUAAUUUGGUUUUGUGUAGCUGGUUCAAGUAAAUUGAGUUCCUUUUGAAAAAGUUCAACAUGUAUCAGCUCAACUAAGGGGAUAAGACAUUUCUGUCCCCAUCCACGCCAGUGGCUUGCCAGAGUCAGGAGCAUUCAUGGUCAGGCAGCCCCAAAGAGAAAAGGCCAGAAAUCUGGUGGGGAAUGGAGAAGAGGAGAGGUUGAAAACUUAGUAGAGAGUAGCCAGGAGCUGUAGUAGGAUACUUUGACCCUGCAUUUGAAGCUGCCCUUUUGACACUGCAGAUGUCUCCACUUCAUCCUUAUGACCUCAUCCAGUAACUGAGAGUUUAGCUGCCCAUGCAUGACAACGGCAGCCUUUCUUCUUGUGUGCACAUGUAUCUCUGUCUCAUUGGAUUGUACCAGAUUUUCUCACUGAUUAUCUAGGAAGUAAGUACAAUCAAUCUUUUCCUUAAUUCUUAAUCUUUAUUACUGGCAGAAAAAAAAAAAAUCGACAUGAAAUGAAAAUGACAACAGAUGAACCUACAUGUGGCCAAAAUUGCUAUUGACUAAAAAUUGACAGAAGGAUCAAAUUUUGACAAAAUUUAGAUCUGCAAAAUUUGACCUCAGGGAAAUUUGGAUUUGGAAAACGAACGAAAAUCACAACAGUUGAGAUGCAUUGAGGAAAAAUAUGAUUCGAAAAACUGAUCGAGGAAUCCAGUGUAAAAACAAUGAAAAAUACAAAAAAAAAAAAAUUCAAUUCAAAGUAAUUUAAAUACAGUAAAAACACAGCUAACACUGAAAAUAGCUUCAUUGUGUUAUAUAAAAUUAUCAAUCAAGAGAUUAAACUGACUUACUUGCGAUUACUCUGGAAAAUAUUUUUUUGCUGAAAAUUUACCCAUGUUGGAGAUGAGCUAUCUUUAGACACUGAGCUAGACUAACAACUUUCUACUCAUUGCCCAAAUCAAGGAAGCUUGUUCUGUUUCUUGUUCUUGUUAUUUAUUUUUUUAAAGACUUUUGGGGUCUCUGGAGCCACUAAGGUCCGAAGGAAAAGAAAAAUGGAAUCUACACCUACUUCUCACUUCUUGACUAUCUCGUAACCAACAUUUUGCAUUUAUGACCAUAGUAAAAAAUCUACUAUCCAACUACUUUGAGCAUCAGUGGGUACAUGUCUGGCAGUAACGAACACCAAGAUGUGACAAGAGAGUAACGCUGGCUGUGAUGGUUAAGGUUAUGUGUCAACUUGGCUGGGCCAUGAUCUCGGAGGUUUGGCAGUUAUGUAACGAUGUAAUUUGGCAGUUGUGUCAUGAUGUAAUCAUUCUCCAUUUUGUGAUCUGAUGUGGUCGUCCACCAUUUUUGUACAACACCAAUUUUCACAUGAUUACCUGGUCUUUGGAACUUAACCACAUCAAAAAGUGAGGAGUGGGUGUUAUUUUCUAUCAGUUGUUCUGUGCAGAAUCUUUUUUUUCAAGUAAAUGGCAGCCAAAUUUAACAAUCCUUGUCUAUUCAUCUCUAUCCCUAGAAGCCAAAAAGUUUUCUGCAUACAGACAUGGCAUAACUACUAUAGCUCUUUCUAACAGUUCCAAGGAGGCUAACAUUAUUGUACCAUUUCAAAGCCGUUUUUUAAUAUUGUUUUUGUUGUUAGGUGCCAUUGAGUCGGUUCCAACUCAUAGUGACCCUAUGUACAACAGAAUGAAACAUCGCCCUGUCCUGUGCCAUCCUCACAGUGGUUGCUAUGCUUGAGCCCAUUGUUGUUGUUGUUUUUAAUAGUGCAUAUUUAAUAGCAAUAAAAGAAUAUUUUACAAUUUAAUGACAAUUUUAAGUGCAAGUUUUGUUUGGUUUACAGGCCAUAUUUUGCCAGUAUAUUUCUUUAUUUUGUUUGGUUUUUGGUCAGGAUUUUAUUUGUCUUGUUUUUAUUAAAAUAUUCUGUUUAUUGAAGAUUAUACAGAUAUAUAGCUGGAUAUACCUAUCUAUCUAUCUAUCAACCCAAACAAACAAGGGAGAGAGAUGAUAAAAUGCAAAGAUCAGGAACCACCUGUGACCUCUAUAAUGUGGCGCCAGUGUACAAGGGAUAAGGUACAUCCAUUUUACUUUUGUUACAACUCCCUGUGACUUCAUUUAAAAAGACAUUUUUCCCAAAGUAAAAUUAUAAAUGAAAGAAAAUCUGGGAGGUGGGAAGCAAGGAAGUAAAAGUGCAAACCCAAUUAAGCAACAUCUAAAACACCAUGAAUGAUUCAGUUACCUUCUGUUUCCCUCAUCAGGACUGAACCUAGACCAGGACUUCACAAUUCCAAAAAAGACCAGUCAAAAAAACCCCAAAACUGUUUGAAAUGACUGUGGUCAUGCAGGUGAAAUUUGGUUUUCUUAACAAAACAAAAUGAAGACUUAGUUUCUUGAGGGUAGAGUAGGUGUGUAGUUUUAUCUCUAUAUUCCCAGCACUUAGUAAACAGCUGGCACAGAGUAGGAGCUUUUUGAGUAAAUAAGUGGGUAAAUUUUUUUUUUUAAGUGUAAACGAAAAUCUCUCAUUAUUUAAGUACUUGAACUCAUUUGUCUAACUCAGCAGUUCUCAGCCUUGGCUGCACAUUAGAAUCUUAUAGGGACUCCUUUUCCCUUAAAUUUUUAUUGAAGUAUUAAAUACAGAAGACUGUACAUAUCUUGGAGAGUUUUUAUAAACUGCUAGUACACUCUUGAAUGGUUAAAAUGAAAAAGAUUGACAAUAUUUAGUGUUGUGGCAAGAAGGUAGAGCAACGGGAACACUUAAACAUUGCUAGCGGGAAUGCAAAAUGGUACAACAGUUUAGAAGUUUCUUCUGAUGUUGAACAGACAAUUACCAUGUGACCCAGCAACACUGCUCCUAGGUAUUUACCCGAGAGAAAUGAAAACAUAAAUCCAUAUAAAAACUUUUACAUCAAUGUUCGUAGCUUUAUUUGUUAUAGCCAACAGCUGGAAAUAACCAAAUGUCCACGAACAGGUGAAUGGAUAUACAAAAUGUGGCAUGUUCAAAGAAUGAACUUCUAAUCAGAAGGAAGAAUGAACACGUAACAAUACGAUGAUUGUCAGAAAUGCUAUACUGAGUGAAAGAAAGCAGUAAUGUUCAAUUCCCUUUAUAUGAAAUUCUAACAUAAGCACAAUUAAUUUAUAUGGGCCAGAAGAUCAUUGGUUGCCUGUGGCUGAGACUGAGGGGGUAUUUUGGAAAUGUUGGAAACGUUCUAUAUCUUGACUGGAGUGUGUUUACAGUGGGGUAGGUAUACAUUUUUCAAAUCUCAUCAAACUUAAAAUAAAUGAAUUUUAUUGUAUGUAUACCUCAAAAAAGUUGAUUUAAAAAAAAAAACUGUUGAUUUUCAGAAUCCACUCCAGAACAAUUGAACUAGAAUCUCUGGGAUGGAAACUAAACAUUGAACCAAUUUAAAGAGGUCCCUGGAUGAUUCUAGAGUGGUGAACCAUUGGCUUCAAUUUUAAGAGAAUAUUGGGGGAGGGAGCAAACAAACAAAAAAAAUUUUUUUUUAAAGGGAACGUGAAGGAUCACAGGUGAAUUUUAUUUUCUGCUUUAAUCUGUUCUCUAUUUUCUGAUGUUUUUCCAUCAUGAACUGUAUUAUUUUAUUUACCUAUUUUGUUUCUCCCAAAUCUCUCAAAUUUUGCUUUACCAUUAAUUUUGGUUUCUAAGUCCCCAUUACAUUGUUCAGAUAAACCAUUUCUGGACAUUCAUUCAUUCAAGGUUAAUUAAACAUGUCCCACAUGCAAAGGGCUGUUUUAGGAAAGAGCAAAUAAGAACAAAGAAAGCUUCCUCUCCAGGCAAUCAAAGACACAGAGUAAAUGGAUGCACACACUUCUUGUUAUGUUGUUGUUGUUAAGUGCUAUCAAGUCGGUUCCAACUCAUAGCGACCCUAUGCACAACAGAACGAAACACUGCCCGGUCCUGCACCAUCCUUACAAUCGUUGUUAUGCUUGAGCUCAUUGUUGCAGCCACUGUGUCAAUCCACCUCGUUGAGAGUCUUCCUCUUUUCUGCUGACCCUGUACUCUGCCAAGCAUGAUGCCCUUCUCCAGGGACUGAUCCCUCCUGACAACAUGUCCAAAGUAUGUAAGACGCGGUUUUGCCAUCCUUGGCUCUAAGGAGCAUUCUGGCCACACUUCUUCCGAGACAGAUUUGUUCGUUCUUCUGGCAGUCCAAUGGUAUAUUCAAUAUUCUUUGCCAACACCACAAUUCAAAAGCCUCAGCUCUUCUUCGGUCUUCCUUAUUCAUUGUCCAGCUUUCACAUGCAUAUGAUGUGAUUGAAAAUACCAUGGCUUGGGUCAGGCACACCUUAGUCUUCAGGGUGACAUCUUUGCUCUUCAACACUUUGAAGAGGUCCUUUGUAGCAGAUUUGCCCAAUGCAAUGCGUCUUCUGAUUUCUUGACUGCUGCUUCCAUGGCUGUUGAUUGUGGAUCCAAGUAAAAUGAAAUCUUUGACAACUUCAAUCUUUUCUCCAUUUAUCAUGAUGUUGCUCCUUGGUCCAGUUGUGAGGAUUUUUGUUUUCUUUAUGUUGAGGUGUAAUCCAUACUGAAGGCUGUGAUCUUUGAUCUUCAUUAGUAAGUGCUUUAAGUCCUCUUCACUUUCAGCAAGCAAGGUUGUGUCAUCUGCAUAACGCAGGUUGUUAAUGAGUUUUCCUCCAAUCCUGAUGCCUCUUUCUUCUUCAUAUAGUCCAGCUUCUUGGAUUAUUUGUUCAGCAUACAGAUUAAAUAGGUAUGGUGAACUAAUACAACCCUGACGCACGCCUUUCCUGACUUUAAACCAAUCAGUAUCCCCUUGUUCCAUCCGAACAACUGCCCCUUGAUCUAUGUAAAGGUUCCUCAUGGGCACAAUUAACUGUUCCGGAAUUCCCAUUCUUCACAGUGUUAUCCAUAGUUUGUUAUGAUCCACACAGUUGAAUGCCUCUGCAUAGUCAAUAAAACACAGGUAAACAUCCUUCUGGUAUUCUCUGCUUUCAGCCAGGAUCCAUCUGACAUCAGCAAUGAUAUCCCUGGUUCCACAUCCUCUUUUGAAACUGGCCUGAACUUCUGGUAGUUCCCUGCUGCAGCCUCUUUUGAAUGAUCUUCAGCAAAAUUUUGCUUGCACGUGAUAUUAAUGAUAUUGUUCUAUAAUUUCCACAUUCAGUUGGAUCACCUUUCUUGGGAAUAGGCAUAAAUAUGGAUCUCUUCCAAUCAGUUGGCCAAGAAGCUGUCUUCCAUAUUUCUUGGCAUAGACGAGUGAGCACCUCCAGCGCUACAUCUGUUUGUUGCAACAUCUCAAUUGAUAUUCCAUCAAUUCCUGGAGCCUUGUUUUUUGCCAGUGCGUUCAGAGCAGCUUGGACUUCUUCCUUCAGCACCAUCGGUUCCUGAUCAUACGCCACCUCUUGAAAUGGUUGAAUAUCGACUAAUUCUUUUUGAUAUAACGGCUCUGUGUAUUUCUUCCAUCUUCUUUUGAUGCUUCCUCUGUCGUUUAAUAUUUUCCCCACGGAAUCCUUCACUAUUGCAACUCGAGGCUUGAAUUUUUUCUUCAGUUCUUUCAGCUUGAGAAAUGCUGAGCGUGUUCUUGCCUUUUGGUUUUCCAUCUCCAGCUCUUUGCACAUGUCAUUAUAAUACUUUACUUUGUCUUCUUGAGAGCCCCUUUGAAAUCUUCUGUUCAACUCUUUUACUUCAUCAAUUCUUCCUUUAGUUUCAGAGUCUCCUCUGACAUCCAUCUUGGUCUUUUCUUUCUUUCCUGUCUUUUCAGUGACCUCUUGCUUUCUCAAUGGAUGAUGUCCCUGAUGUCAUUCCACAACUCGUCUGGUCUUCGGUCAUCAGUGUUCAAUGCGUCAAAUCUGUUCUUCAGAUGGUCUCUAAAUUCAGGUGGGAUAUACUCAAGGUCAUAUUUUGGCUCUCGUGGACUUGCUCUGAUUGUCUUCAGUUUCGGCUUGAAAUUGCAUAUGAGCAAUUGAUGGUCUGUUCCACAGUUGGCCCCUGGCCUUGUUCUGACUGAUGAUGUUGAGCUUUUCCAUCAUCUCUUUCCACAGAUGUAGUCAAUUUUGACUUCUGCGUGUUCCAUCUGGUGAGGUCCAUGUGUACAGUCACCGUUUAUGUUGGUGAAAGAAGGUAUUUGCAAUGAAGAAGUCGUUCAUCUUGCAAAAUUCUAUCAUUCGAUCCCCGGCAUUGUUUCUAUCACCAAGGCCAUAUUUUCCAACUACUGAUCCUUCUUCGUUUCCAACUUUCGCAUUCCAAUCACCAGUAAUUAUCAAUGCAUCUUGAUUGCAUGUUCCAUCAAUUUCAGACUGUAGCAGCUGAUAAAAAUCUUCUAUUUCUUCAUCUCUGGCCCUAGUGGUUGGUGCGUAAAUUUGAAUAAUAGUCAUAUUAACUGGUCUUCCUUGUAUACAUAUGGAUGUUAUCCUAUCACUGGCAGUGUUGUACUUCAGGAUAGAUCUUGAAAUGUUCUUUUUGACAAUGAAUGCAACACCUUUCCUCUUUGAGUUGUCAUUCCCAGCAGAGUAGAUUCUAUGACUGUCUGAUUCAAAAUGGCCAAUACCAGUCCAUUUCGGUUCGCUAAUGCCUAGGAUAUCGAUGUUUAUGCAUUCCAUUUCAUUUUGGACGAUUUCUAAUUUUCCUAGAUUCAUACUUUGUACAUUCCGGGUUCUGAUUAUUAAUGGAUAUUUGCAGCUGAUUCUUCUCAUUUUGAGUCGUGCCACAUCAGCAAAUGAAGGUCCCGAAAGCUUUACUCCAUUCACGUCAUUAAGGUCGAGUCUACUUUGAGGUGGCAGCUCUUCCCCAAUCAUCUUUUGAGUGCCUUCCAACCUGAGGGCUCAUCUUCCAGCACUAUAUCAGACAAGGUUCCACUGCUAUUCGUAAGGUUUUCACUGGCAAAUGAAAGGAAGAAGGACCCGACAGACUACUUCUUGUUAUAAGAGGCUCCAAAGGUGAUAGUAGACACAGGUGACAGGAGAUAAGAUGAUGCUACUUUAUUCUUGUGUGACUUUGGAAAAUAAUCUGGUAGUUUCUUAAAAAGUUGAAAUGCACCUACCCAGACACUCAGUUCCUAGGUGUUUACCCUAAGGAAACGACAGCACAUGUUAAUACAAAGAUUUACACAUGAAUGCUCAGAGUAGCUUCAUUUUUCAAACCAAACGUUUCAAGCCAAAAUGUGGAAACAACCCAAAUGUCCAUCAACUGAAGAAUGGCUAAAUUGUGAUAAAUCUAUAUUAUAGAAUACUACUCAGCAAUAAAAAAGUAACUACUGAUACAUGGAACAACAUAGGUGAAUCUCAAAAUAAUUAUGCUGAGUGAAAGAAGCCAAACGCAAAAGAGCAUCUACCAUGUGAGUCCAUUCAUAUAAAACUCUAGGAAGUGCAAGCUAAUAUAUAGUGACAGAAAGCAGGUUAGUGGCUGGGGUGGAUGGAGAAUGAAUUACACAGAGGUGAUGGAAAUGUUUCUUAUCUUGAUUGCUGUGAUGGUUUCACAGUUGUAUACGUAUGUCAGAACUCAUCAAAACAUACAUCUUAAAUAUGUGUAUUUUAUUGUACAUAAAUUAUAUUACAAUAAAGAUGUUAAAAAGAAGAAAGAAGGGAGAGAGAGGGAAGGGAAAAUGACAUCAAACAAGGCUGCAAAUGUACCUGAAUGGGACCCAUGGUCUCCAGUUUGUAUCUCUGCCCAAAAUUUUGUGGGCCUGGGCUAGGAAGAGGAAUGUGGCGGACCCCCCUAGAGUUUGAUAGCUAACAGGAUAAGCAGCAAUGGAGAGGUAGACUGAAGAGCUUGUUUGGAUAGUAAACAAAUGAAGGAAACAUAGGCACGGUCACAGCAUUUCCUGUCCUGGAUGAUUCUUUAGAUUAAGUUAAAGUGAUUAUAAUCACUUAAGAUUGUUUUAUAAAGGAUUCCAUUCAUUAAAAAAAAAUGUGUUUUAGGUGAAAGUUUACAGAGAAAAUUAGUUUCCCAUUCCAUCGUUUGUACAUAGUGUUCCAUGGCAUUGGUUGCUUUCCCCACAGUGUAUCAGCCCUGGGUUCUUCGUUUCCUUCCCUCAGGAUUUUCUACCCCUUCCUGCCUUCUCAUCUUUGCUUUUGGACAAAUGUUGCCCUUUCGAUCUCCUAUAAUUGAUUUUCCUAAGGAGCAUAAUCCUCUCUGGUGGUGUUUAUUUUCUGGGCCUAUUAUUUGGCUGUCUAUUUGUUUUUGACAUGUUCCCAACUCAAUGGCAGUGGUGGCCACCAAACACACCAUGGGUCUAUGUAAACCAAAACAUUCCAAAGAAAGAGUGGAGCGAGGGAGGAUUGAGGCUUAAAAGUGACAAUCACAGAGUUUAGGGUAGUGGUUAAACUUGAGGGCUCUGUGGCCAGACUCCUGACUUUGCAGCUAACUAGCUCUGAGACCUCAGGCGAGACAUUUUCAUACUCUAAACAUCUGUGUGCUUAUCUGUGAAAACAGGGAAAAUAGCUAACCUCAUUAGGAUGCUGUGAGGAUUAAAUGAGGUGAGCUUCCUAAUGCAAUUAGCACAGAGCCUGGCACACAGUUAAGUUUUAGCUCAAUCUAUUCUGAGUCAUUUGUUUUUCCUCCCUCAAAUACUAAGUUGUCCAUUUUACAUUCCAGACAGUUACAGCUUUUAUGGACCCCAGUCAAAUACCGCUAUCCUCUGUGUUUAGAGAAACAGAGUCUUGGGCAUAUUAAGAUUCAUGAUUUUUGAACUUACUACUGUAUUUCUGAUAUUCAUUUAUUAUUAUCAUUCUUGUUACAGGUAUGAGUAAUAGUAGUUAAUUCCAAGGGAGUAAAAGGAACAAUAACAGGCCAUGCUUUUCUAAAAACCAUAGGUAAUAUCUAUUUUGAAAAUUUGCCCACUGGGCCAAAGGCAUGGUUGCCUGCAGGAGGCAAACACAGUAAAUCUGCCUCCAUAUUGCCCAUUCUGCCCCUUCAUGGCCAUGCCCCCUCCCUCUCCCUCAGCUUGCCUGCACUUGGCCUUGGAACCUAGCUUUGCCUCUGCAGUCACUCCUCCCUAAAACUCAUUUCUAGCCACAAGUCUUGGUUUUCCGAUUUAAUUUUGGGCAAUGCAAUUCACUUUUCACCCUGUUCAUAAGUCACUCUUGCCUGUGGGUAAGUGGCACUCAUGGGCACAGGCUCAGUAGAGAAAGAUGAACUGAGUCAACGAAAUCCCUUACGGAAGUCAAGAUGGACCUGACAAAAGUUGUUCUCCAAAUCCAGUUAUCCCCAAACUAAGGGUAGCCUGAUAUGAUAUAAUGAGAGAUCCCGGUAUAAUACAACAGUAUUUCUCAAAGUGCAUGCUCGAGAGAGCAGAACCACCGGGGGGACUUCUUAAAAUGCAAAUUACGAGGCCCACCCCAGACCUACAGAAUAAGAGCAUCUGAAAAUGGGGCCCAGGAAUCAGUCUCUCUGAAAAGAAAUCCAGGCGCUGAUUCAGAUGCUCUUUGCCUUCCCUGUGAAAGGUAUCAUUAAGAAAACUGAACUUGUCAUAUGAAAUAAUGGGCUGAUCUAAUCAUGAACGUAACCUUGAAUGGUGAAUGUUAUUCUGUCAAAGACGGACACACUACCAUCCAGAAUGAUGAGCAACCAAGUCAUGUUCUGAGAAAAAAAAAAAAGUGUAGUCAGGUUUUUCUCAUAUAGCAGGUGUGCUGUUCAGAUUUCCACUAGAUAGGGGAACAGCUUAGGUAAAAAAGAAAAUGGCCUCUGUAUUUUAAAUGAUCCCUCUCAGUCUCACUGGUCCAGCUACAUUUAUUCAGGGGGGGAAUAUAUUAAAAAUUUUUAACAAGAGUGCAAGGGCAUAAGGGACAUACCCACUGUAGACACUGGUCUAGAUGUACCAGUGCAAACUGGUGGCGUGUCAGCCCUUUCUUCUAUAGUAUAUAACUUCACCAAGAUUAAGACAAAAUAGUGUGUAUUGCCAUCCAUUUUAUUUUGAGGGAAGACAAUAGAUGUGAUUAGAGCCUUAAUGUACUUCUGAUAGAUUUGUUUUCUGUAAAAAGGGCUGAUUAAGGAUUAUAAAAACUCUUGACUUCCUGAACUGCUUGAAAUGUUACUAUUGCUUCAAAUUCAGAAAGAGCCUUCAUGACCUGAACCAUCCCAGUCAUACAACCAUUUGUUCUAUUGCUAAAGACCUAGUGAACGGGUAUCUGGGAGUUUUAUACGUGGGGAAAGGCACAUUCCCGGCACGCUGCCUCAAUGGAGGUGCAGAUAAGAUACAAAGCCUUCGUGUGCUUUGGGAGAAUGAACUGGAGAUUCAACUAGAAAACUUUGUUUCAGACCAGUUAAAAAAGUGAAAUAUAGCUACCGCAAUUGAAUUGUACAGUGGUAGCUUCAACUUCUGUACCAGGAGACAAUUUUUGCAUUUUCUUGGGUAAUCCCACAGCUACAGCCAUAUUGGACAGAUGUUUUUAACUCUAAAUGCAAUACAGAAUUACCUACCAUUUCUUCGCUAUGCAGAUUGAAUACUUUGUGUGAGCAUUCAAAAAUGCAUGUUUAUAGUCUAAACUUCUUAUGGUUAUUGUUUUCUACCACCAAAUGUACUGUCUACAGAUGGAAAAUUCAGUCUUAGAUGGGUGGUGAGGAAUUGCUCAGAAGAAUCAGUCACGCACAGACACACACAUUACACAUAACGUUGAGAUGGGCUAGAUUACAGAGUUAUCAAAAUAUGUACAGGAGCAAUCCUCAUCUAGAAGAAGUGUUUCAGGGAUUCCCAACGAUCAUACUCAACAGCUGGUCCUAUCUGCAAGACUUGGUCAAUGGAGAACACUGCUGCUUUUCUCCCCGUUCUGGUUCCCCACACACUCUAGCGCCAUCUUGGUGAAGGCAGAGUGGCACGCAGCCUUAGCACUGCUGCUCCGUAUUACCCCCCAACGACAGCAAUGAAAGCAGGCGAGACGACCAAACAACACGGCAGCCCAUUUUUAUGAGUUUACCUUUACAGGCAACCUAGAGAGUUUCAGAGGGGGAAGGAGUAGGGAAUUGCUGUGGAGUAUUUAUUUUUCAAAGUUAAUGGGUUCCUUGCAAUAAGGAUGCUAACCUAUAUUGAAGGUUAUUUUUUUUUUUACAAAGGUACCGUGUUCUUGGGGGAAAAAAAAAAGCAUGCAAAAUACACUUCGUACAGGGGUGUCCCAUGCUUCUGGAAUCACUUGAUUUUGUCAUACUUCAACUUUUUACAAAAAAGCGCUAUACAGAAUUUCUUUUACAAUCCCAGAGACUUGGUUUUGAGAUUUUUGUUGCAAUCGUAAACUGCAAAUAUGUUGAGAUAUCAUCAACGCAGGUUUAAAGAUGUAUGGAGCCUGGUUUUAGAGCCUCAGUAAUAUUGUUACUUAGCUUGGACAGGGCUAACCAAAUGUUCUGGAUAAUGGUUACUGUAAAGACACAUACAUAAAAAAAAAAAAAAAUACAUGCAUGCAUAUUUAAGGAUUACCAAUUUUAAACAAUUAUUCAUUAAACAUCAAAAUUGAAUCUUUGCUGAUGACACUUGCAGAACCUUGUUAUCUUAAUCAAUUUUCUGUUAAUAAGUCAGUCACAGAAAGAUUUGUCGCUGAUGAACUGUAGCAUAACAACGUCCAGAGGGAGAGUUUCCUCUCCCACGGCUCCAGCUUAUAGAAUUGGUAAUACUGGAGCUAGAAAUGGAAGCAGGGGUAAGCACUAAUUUUUUGAUGCAUGCUCAUAUGAAGUAAAUGCAAUAUGAGAAAUCUAAGCUCUAUCAGACAAUUCUAAUAUCUUGAAAUAAAAAGGGUCAGAGAGAUUAAGCCCAAUGUGUGCAGCAGACGAAAGGAUUUCAGGGUCCAGAAUGAAAGGGCCCUCGGCCAUGAGAAUUCCAAGGUGGGGAUGUGUUCUCCAACAUUCCUACUAGGUGCUGCUCCGUGGAUGCACUGAGAUGGAGUCCACUGUCAACCAUUUCCAACCCAACAUAAGAGGAAUUAUUUUUUUCAUGAAAAUCCGUUUCUUAACUUCACAACAGGAAACAACAAAAAUACAGUGUUUCAAAAUUUGCUUUUAUAAACCAACUCUGCCAGACUAGUAAACUGAACUAUAUUUAUACUUUUAAAUCUCAAAGAUCUAAGCCUCAUCACCCAACAACUAAAAAAAAAAAAAAAAACAACCAAAGCCACCCCAUAAAUCAUUUCUUUAGAUAUGAAAUGAAUAAGUAGGUCAAAAACACUUUUGGAAAAAAAAUUUCUUUAUUUCUAUUUGUUCAUUUAUAUAAAGACAGUAUCAGUAAUAGGUAAUACAAACAUAUUUUUAAGUUUAAAAUUAAUUUUUCAUUUUGAAAGGUUCAGGACUUUGUCUUUUCUUUCUACCUUACUCUUUUAAAUACUUCACUCCAACAAAUUAGCAGACAAAUAAAAAGCAUAUUCCCUUACUUUUCCUUAGGGUCAUAUUGGACGAAUUAGAAUUUAAUGUUUAGAAUUUAGGUACCGUUUACAGUAAGCUGGAGAUUUAAUCAUAGAAUGAUAGAUGUGAGAAUGUCAUUAGUUCACACAUUAAAAAAUAGAGUUUAAAAAGGACAAAUUUCAGGGGAAUUUCUAGUUUUAAGUUUAAGAAAGUUCUCUUAGGUAUCCUUGAAAGUUUAAAUAUUUUCCUUCAGAUUCAGAAUGAAAACAACAGGAAUUAUAGAUCAUAAUGGGUACUGGUGACAUGGCCCAAAGUAGCUACAUUAAGUUAGGGAUAAAUGGAGUCUCCACAUUUUAGGGAAGGGGCUGAUGGAAAAAAAAAAAAAAAAAAAAAACCCCACCAGGGAGCCACUUUAAACUCAUGUCCAUAGCAGGUCAAAUGAUGCUGAUACUAUUUCCUUUAGAAAGGUACUAUGUCAUCUCUGUCUUUCUGAGGGUUAGUUCCUGAACUGCUCACAUGGCUACUUCUCUUCUUUGUAUCAGCAGUUCUAGGAGCAAACCUCCCAGGGGAACAAUACUACAGACUGGAAAAGCAAGACUGCACAGGGGCUCUAAUGCUUUAGCUGCUCAUCAGGGUAUCCACGGAGGAGAAGACCUAAUCUCACUCUGACUCCAGGAUAUUCUUGGAAUAGUAAAUAACUUCUUUGGUUUAGAACUGUUAAUACUACCUACUACUUUGACUCUCCUGGAUGUAUCGUACUUUUUAAAUAAAAAAUGUGUAACAAGCUAACAAACAAAAAUAAAAAAUCUACUUGCUUUAUAACAAAUAACUAAUAUUUUAAUGUUUUUACAAAAGCAAUUCCUUUCAGGUACUCUGAUUAACUUUUAAGUGACAUAAAAAAGUCUCAGCAUUCUUUAAUACCAAUAUUUUGCACAAUUUAAGAUACAGCCAUUGAGUUUAACCUUUUAAGGAAAAAAAAAAAGAA